RNAcentral lists this ribosomal RNA (261 nucleotides) under uncultured archaeon. RNAcentral describes it as "partial 16S ribosomal RNA". It matches the Rfam family "Archaeal small subunit ribosomal RNA", at positions 748 to 1008 of the family's 1478-position model. The record is from RNAcentral.
CAGCCGUAAACGAUGCGCGUUAGGUGUAUCGACGACCACGAGUCGUCGAGGUGCCGAAGGGAAACCGUGAAACGUGCCGCCUGGGAAGUACGGUCGCAAGGCUGAAACUUAAAGGAAUUGGCGGGGGAGCACCACAACAGGUGGAGCCUGCGGUUUAAUUGGACUCAACGCCGGAAAUCUCACCGGAUAAGACAGCGGAAUGAUUGCCGGGCUGAAGACUCUGCAUGACUAGCUGAGAGGAGGUGCAUGGCCUCAGUGACU